AAAGAAUUAGUUAAAUAAUAACAUUAGUAUGUCAAACUUAAAUUAUUACAUAAAAGUAAUAUUCUUUU
This 68-nucleotide transfer RNA is filed under the name Hypomecis punctinalis (pale oak beauty). RNAcentral's name for it is "tRNA-Asp". Lineage: Eukaryota; Metazoa; Arthropoda; Insecta; Lepidoptera; Geometridae. The record is from RNAcentral.